Molecule: ribosomal RNA, 388 nt
Filed under: uncultured bacterium
Lineage: Bacteria
Description: bacterial SSU rRNA
Rfam family: Bacterial small subunit ribosomal RNA
Source: RNAcentral
AAUGGGCGAAAGCCUGACCCAGCAACGCCGCGUGAAGGAAGAAGGUUUUCGGAUUGUAAACUUCUGUCCUCAGGGAAGAAGGAAGUGACGGUACCUGAGGAGGAAGCCCCGGCUAACUACGUGCCAGCAGCCGCGGUAAUACGUAGGGGGCGAGCGUUGUCCGGAAUGACUGGGCGUAAAGGGCGCGUAGACGGCUGUCUAAGUCUGGAGUGAAAGUCCUGCUUUCAAGGUGGGAAUUGCUUUGGAGACUGGAUGGCUUGAGUGCGGAAGAGGUAAGUGGAAUUCCCAGUGUAGCGGUGAAAUGCGUAGAGAUUGGGAGGAACACCAGUGGCGAAGGCGACUUACUGGGCCGUAACUGACGUUGAUGCGCGAAAGCGUGGGGAGCGAA